AUUGAACGCUGGCGGCAGGCCUAACACAUGCGAGUCGAGCGGAUGAAGGGAGCUUGCUCCUGGAUUCAGCGGCGGACGGGUGAGUAAUGCCUAGGAAUCUGCCUGGUAGUGGGGGAUAACGUCCGGAAACGGGCGCUAAUACCGCAUACGUCCUGAGGGAGAAAGUGGGGGAUCUUCGGACCUCACGCUAUCAGAUGAGCCUAGGUCGGAUUAGCUAGUUGGUGGGGUAAAGGCCUACCAAGGCGACGAUCCGUAACUGGUCUGAGAGGAUGAUCAGUCACACUAGAACUGAGACACGGUCCAGACUCCUACGGGAGGCAGCAGUGGGGAAUAUUGGACAAUGGGCGAAAGCCUGAUCCAGCCAUGCCGCGUGUGUGAAGAAGGUCUUCGGAUUGUAAAGCACUUUAAGUUGGGAGGAAGGGCAGUAAGUUAAUACCUUGCUGUUUUGACGUUACCAACAGAAUAAGCACCGGCUAACUUCGUG
This 484-nucleotide ribosomal RNA is filed under the name uncultured bacterium. RNAcentral describes it as "partial 16S ribosomal RNA". It matches the Rfam family "Bacterial small subunit ribosomal RNA", at positions 30 to 507 of the family's 1533-position model. The record is from RNAcentral.